RNAcentral lists this ribosomal RNA (467 nucleotides) under uncultured bacterium. RNAcentral's name for it is "partial 16S ribosomal RNA". It matches the Rfam family "Bacterial small subunit ribosomal RNA", at positions 28 to 507 of the family's 1533-position model. The record is from RNAcentral.
GACGAACGCUGGCGGCGUGCUUAACACAUGCAAGUCGAACGGAAAGGCCCUGCUUUUGUGGGGUGCUCGAGUGGCGAACGGGUGAGUAACACGUGAGUAACCUGCCCUUGACUUUGGGAUAACUUCAGGAAACUGGGCUAAUACCCGGUUAGAGCUUCUGCUGCAUUGUGGGGGUUGGAAAAUUUCGGCGGUUGGGGAUGGACUCGCGGCUUAUCAGCUUGUUGGUGGGGUAGUGGCUUACCAAGGCUUUGACGGGUGGCCGGCCUGAGAGGGUGACCGGCCACAUUGGGACUGAGAUACGGCCCAGACUCCUACGGGAGGCAGCAGUGGGGAAUAUUGCACAAUGGGCGGAAGCCUGAUGCAGCAACGCCGCGUGCGGGAUGACGGCCUUCGGGUUGUAAACCGCUUUCGCCUGUGACGAAGCGUGAGUGACGGUAAUGGGUAAAGAAGCACCGGCUAACUACGUG